Molecule: unclassified non-coding RNA, 188 nt
Filed under: Glomeraceae sp.
Lineage: Eukaryota; Fungi; Glomeromycota; Glomeromycetes; Glomerales; Glomeraceae
Description: partial contains 5.8S ribosomal RNA and internal transcribed spacer 2
Rfam family: 5.8S ribosomal RNA (bases 1-71)
Source: RNAcentral
GUGAAUCAUCGAAUCUUUGAACGCAAAUUGCACUCUCUGGUAUUCCGGAAAGUAUGCCUGUUUGAGGGUCAGUUAAUUCAUCAACGGUGGUGCUGCUGCUUUUCGUGGUGACGCGUCGGAAUUGAGUUGUGCUACCUUCGGUUAAUUGACUUAAAAUUUUGAAUGAUCUUGGUACGUAUCUAUAUUUU